This 1725-nucleotide long non-coding RNA is filed under the name Heterocephalus glaber (naked mole-rat). RNAcentral describes it as "lncRNA (ENSHGLG00100050539.1)". The record is from RNAcentral. Lineage: Eukaryota; Metazoa; Chordata; Mammalia; Rodentia; Bathyergidae.
AUUUUGAAUCACUUUUUCAUUGAUAAGCCUUUUCCUACAUCUAUUAGUUCACGUGCGAUUUCUCAUACAGGGGUCUCUGAUUAUGGGAUUUUCUCAACUCUCAACUACUUACUCUGCCCUCUACAUUUAAUGAUUCAUUUUCAUAUUCCAUUUGUAAAUAAAAGCAUAGACUGCCGUGAAUUUGACUACAUAUGGUCACAUAACCACCAAUAUAAUCAAGAUAAAAAUGAUAUUGUUAUAUCUUACAGGCUCCCUCAUUCACAACCAGGAUAACUACUAUUCUGAUUUUUAUGAUUGUAAUUUUGUUCCAGAAUGUCGUAAAAGUGGAAUCUUAUGGAACCACGCUUCCAGCACAUGAAACUUUGGAGACCCCCUCAAACUAUAUCCAAAUCACAGCAGGCUAUGGGUAAGCUUAUCUUCAUUUCCUCAGCUCCCUCAUGUAUAAAAGGUUGGGUGCCAGUUGCUUCUGAUUUCAAUGGUCCUGCUCAAUGGCUGUCAUUUCUUUGUCUUUUCUUUCCUUUUAUGUUUGUUUUGUUUUCUGCACUGCUAGAGAGCAUACCAGGCAUGUGAUUUCCUAUGAACCUACAGUCAUUUGCAUUACAAGUGGUCAUGGUCCCUGUCUAUCGGAAGGUAGGUUUUGUAGAACCUGUCAUUUCCUGGGAAAUUGUUCUCCAUCUCAUUUCAUGUUGGGUGAGUCCUUUUCUCACAGAAUAGACUAGACUCGAUGCAACAGGAAACACUGAGAAUCAAUUCUUUGUUAUUAUAGACCCUAUUCCUGCGUCCCGGUAGGAGACCAUCAACCAGAAACUUUUUGCAAAUCCUCCGAAGGGGACAGAAGCAAUGAGAGCUGCUCUUGCUCCCUCGAUGCAGUAGUGUAGCAUUUACUCACUUCUGUAAUAACCCGAAAUGGUCUAGUGUUAGCAUUCUUCGAGCAGUUGGCAAUUAUAGUCAGAGAUUGUUGUUAAUUUUUUUUAAAGCAGCUUAUGGCAGUGACAAAAAAAUGAUUGCUUCUGAAAAUUCAUGGAGUGUCAGCUUCGUCCACCAUCAUGGAGAAUACUAUUAAACUGUGAGGCACUGAGAAAAUGAAGCAAGAAAUAUCAAGCAGCUGUACUGAGAGUGGAGUCCAAAGAUUCAGAGCUGAGGGAGAGCAUAUUGGCAUCCAAUAUAUCACAUCUUCACUGACCGACUCUCUCUUUCUCUGUUUCUUUUCUAUUUUUCAUUCUCAGAACACUCCAGGGCAAUGUGAGCCCCAGCUUCAGAACACAGUGCCAAAAGAGAACUCACCUAACCUGUGGUUGUCCUGCUUCAGGACAUGUCGAGGGUCACUGCAUUGCAGCUGGGACAGAACAAACUCAUCCUUGGCCACAGGGUGCCUUGGGAUUGCUCUGGAUGUUUUGAAGAGGGAAACCCAGUGGUCAGCUCAUAGAUAUCCACUAAGGUGACUUGAUGAUGGGUAGGUACUUCUGAUGAAGGAGGCAUCUGACAAAGGAGGGGAGGAAUCUGUAACAGUGAAGGACACUGAGAAGCACAUUGAGACAGCUGCUUAAGACCACCAACACCUGUGUCAUCCACUUUUGCCAUGACAAUACUUCUUUGGGUCUAAGGUGACUCAGCUAUUGAGCACAAUGAAGUACUUCAGUCAAGAGAGCUUUUGCCUGAUGCACAGGAAGCCUUCGAAGUCCUUUUGUUUACCAGCUCUUAGGAUUGUUGUCUGGUAUAGAUCUG